RNAcentral lists this ribosomal RNA (253 nucleotides) under uncultured bacterium. Its description in RNAcentral is "partial 16S ribosomal RNA". It matches the Rfam family "Bacterial small subunit ribosomal RNA", at positions 524 to 776 of the family's 1533-position model. The record is from RNAcentral.
UACAGAGGUCCUGAGCGUUGUUCGGAUUCACUGGGCGUAAAGGGUGCGUAGGUGGCGAGGUAAGUCGGAUGUGAAAGCUCGGAGCUCAACUCCGAAAUGGCAUUGGAAACUACCUUGCUCGAGGGUUGGAGGGGGGACUGGAAUUCUCGGUGUAGCAGUGAAAUGCGUAGAUAUCGAGAGGAACACCAGUGGCGAAGGCGAGUCCCUGGACAACUCCUGACACUGAGGCACGAAAGCUAGGGGAGCAAACAGG